GCAGCAGGACGGUCUGUCGCUCGUGUUUCGGCACGGGAGGAAAGUCCGGGCAACACAGGGCACCAUGCCGGCUAACGACCGGUGGGCAGCAAUGUUCAGGCAGCGUAACAGAGAAUAACCGCCCGCAAGGGUAAGGGUGAAAAGGCGAGGUAAGAGCUCACCGCACACAUGGCAACAUGGCGUGGCUGUACGUCCCAUGGGUUGUAAGAUCAUGUAUAUCGGUGAUUGAGAGCAAUUCUUGAUUAAGGGCUGCCCGCCCGAUGCCGAGGGGUAGAUUGCUGGAGCCCGAUUGAGAAAUCGGGUCGAGAUUGAUGACAGACGCCGCAGCAAUGCGGUACAGAACCCGGCUCAUAGGCUUACUGUCUUC
Molecule: RNase P RNA, 367 nt
Filed under: Bacteroidales bacterium
Lineage: Bacteria; Pseudomonadati; Bacteroidota; Bacteroidia; Bacteroidales
Description: RNase P RNA component class A
Rfam family: Bacterial RNase P class A
About the family: Ribonuclease P (RNase P) is a ubiquitous endoribonuclease, found in archaea, bacteria and eukarya as well as chloroplasts and mitochondria. Its best characterised activity is the generation of mature 5'-ends of tRNAs by cleaving the 5'-leader elements of precursor-tRNAs. Cellular RNase Ps are ribonucleoproteins.
Source: RNAcentral